Molecule: ribosomal RNA, 449 nt
Filed under: uncultured bacterium
Lineage: Bacteria
Description: partial 16S ribosomal RNA
Rfam family: Bacterial small subunit ribosomal RNA
Source: RNAcentral
AACGAACGCUGGCGGCAGGCUUAACACAUGCAAGUCGAACGCAUCCUUCGGGGUGAGUGGCAGACGGGUGAGUAACGCGUGGGAACGUGCCCUUCAGUUCGGGAUAACCCAGGGAAACUUGGGCUAAUACCGGAUACGUGCGAGAGCAGAAAGAUUUAUCGCUGAAGGAUCGGCCCGCGCCUGAUUAGCUAGUUGGUGGGGUAAUGGCCCACCAAGGGGACGAUCAGUAGCUGGUCUGAGAGGAUGAUCAGCCACAUUGGGACUGAGACACGGCCCAAACGCCUACGGGAGGCAGCAGUGGGGAUUAUUGGACAAUGGGCGCAAGCUUGAUCCAGCCAUGCCGCGUGAGUGAUGAAGGCCUUAGGGUUGUAAAGCUCUUUCGUCCGGGACGAUAAUGACGGUACCGGAAGAAGAAGCCCCGGCUAACUUCGUGCCAGCAGCCGCAGUAA